This 253-nucleotide ribosomal RNA is filed under the name uncultured bacterium. RNAcentral's name for it is "partial 16S ribosomal RNA". It matches the Rfam family "Bacterial small subunit ribosomal RNA", at positions 524 to 776 of the family's 1533-position model. The record is from RNAcentral.
UACAGAGGUCUCGAGCGUUAGUCGGAGUCACUGGGCUUAAAGCGUGUGUAGGCGGAUCGUUAAGUGCCUUGUGAAAUCCCACGGCUCAACCGUGGAACUGCUUGGCAUACUGGCGGUCUUGAGCAACCUAGGGGCGAGCGGAACAAAUGGUGGAGCGGUGAAAUGCGUAGAUAUCAUUUGGAACGCCAAUGGUGAAAACAGCUCGCUGGGGGUUUGCUGACGCUGAGACACGAAAGCCAGGGGAGCAAACGGG